This 1065-nucleotide ribosomal RNA is filed under the name Lactiplantibacillus plantarum. Its description in RNAcentral is "bacterial SSU rRNA". It matches the Rfam family "Bacterial small subunit ribosomal RNA". Lineage: Bacteria; Bacillati; Bacillota; Bacilli; Lactobacillales; Lactobacillaceae. The record is from RNAcentral.
GCAUAUACAUGCAGUCGAACGAACUCUGGUAUUGAUUGGUGCUUGCAUCAUGAUUUACAUUUGAGUGAGUGGCGAACUGGUGAGUAACACGUGGGAAACCUGCCCAGAAGCGGGGGAUAACACCUGGAAACAGAUGCUAAUACCGCAUAACAACUUGGACCGCAUGGUCCGAGCUUGAAAGAUGGCUUCGGCUAUCACUUUUGGAUGGUCCCGCGGCGUAUUAGCUAGAUGGUGGGGUAACGGCUCACCAUGGCAAUGAUACGUAGCCGACCUGAGAGGGUAAUCGGCCACAUUGGGACUGAGACACGGCCCAAACUCCUACGGGAGGCAGCAGUAGGGAAUCUUCCACAAUGGACGAAAGUCUGAUGGAGCAACGCCGCGUGAGUGAAGAAGGGUUUCGGCUCGUAAAACUCUGUUGUUAAAGAAGAACAUAUCUGAGAGUAACUGUUCAGGUAUUGACGGUAUUUAACCAGAAAGCCACGGCUAACUACGUGCCAGCAGCCGCGGUAAUACGUAGGUGGCAAGCGUUGUCCGGAUUUAUUGGGCGUAAAGCGAGCGCAGGCGGAAGAACCUUACCAGGUCUUGACAUACUAUGCAAAUCUAAGAGAUUAGACGUUCCCUUCGGGGACAUGGAUACAGGUGGUGCAUGGUUGUCGUCAGCUCGUGUCGUGAGAUGUUGGGUUAAGUCCCGCAACGAGCGCAACCCUUAUUAUCAGUUGCCAGCAUUAAGUUGGGCACUCUGGUGAGACUGCCGGUGACAAACCGGAGGAAGGUGGGGAUGACGUCAAAUCAUCAUGCCCCUUAUGACCUGGGCUACACACGUGCUACAAUGGAUGGUACAACGAGUUGCGAACUCGCGAGAGUAAGCUAAUCUCUUAAAGCCAUUCUCAGUUCGGAUUGUAGGCUGCAACUCGCCUACAUGAAGUCGGAAUCGCUAGUAAUCGCGGAUCAGCAUGCCGCGGUGAAUACGUUCCCGGGCCUUGUACACACCGCCCGUCACACCAUGAGAGUUUGUAAUACCCAAAGUCGGUGGGGUAACCUUUUAGGAACCAGCCGCCUAAGGUU